AACGCUAGCUACAGGCUUAACACAUGCAAGUCGAGGGGAAACGAUAUUGGAAGCUUGCUUCCGAUAGGCGUCGACCGGCGCACGGGUGAGUAACGCGUAUCCAACCUUCCCGCAACUGGGGAAUAACCUUGCGAAAGUAAGACUAAUACCCCAUGGCCUCCACGGAUGGCAUCUGAAGUGGAGUAAAGGUUCCGGCCGGUUGCGGAUGGGGAUGCGUCCGAUUAGCUUGACGGCGGGGUAACGGCCCACCGUGGCAUCGAUCGGUAGGGGUUCUGAGAGGAAGGUCCCCCACAUUGGAACUGAGACACGGUCCAAACUCCUACGGGAGGCAGCAGUGAGGAAUAUUGGUCAAUGGGCGGAAGCCUGAACCAGCCAAGUAGCGUGAAGGACGACUGCCCUAUGGGUUGUAAACUUCUUUUAUGCGGGGAUAAAGUUCGCCACGUGUGGCGUUUUGCAGGUACCGCAUGAAUAAGGACCGGCUAAUUCCGUGCCAGCAGCCGCGGUAAUACGGAAGGUCCAGGCGUUAUCCGGAUUCAUUGGGUUUAAAGGGAGCGUAGGCCGCCUUUUAAGCGUGUUGUGAAAUGUAGGGGCUCAACCCCUGCACUGCAGCGCGAACUGGAGGGCUUGAGUACACACAAAGUAGGCGGAAUUCAUGGUGUAGCGGUGAAAUGCUUAGAUAUCACGAAGAACUCCGAUUGCGAAGGCAGCUCACUGGAGCGCAACUGACGCUGAAGCUCGAAAGUGCGGGUAUCGAACAGGAUUAGAUACCCUGGUAGUCCGCACGGUAAACGAUGGAUGCCCGCUGUUGGCCUGAAUAGGUCAGCGGCCAAGCGAAAGCAUUAAGCAUCCCACCUGGGGAGUACGCCGGCAACGGUGAAACUCAAAGGAAUUGACGGGGGCCCGCACAAGCGGAGGAACAUGUGGUUUAAUUCGAUGAUACGCGAGGAACCUUACCCGGGCUUGAAUUGCAGAGGAAGGAUUUGGAGACAAUGACGCCCUUCGGGGUCUCUGUGAAGGUGCUGCAUGGUUGUCGUCAGCUCGUGCCGUGAGGUGUCGGCUUAAGUGC
RNAcentral lists this ribosomal RNA (1066 nucleotides) under uncultured Bacteroidales bacterium. RNAcentral describes it as "bacterial SSU rRNA". It matches the Rfam family "Bacterial small subunit ribosomal RNA", at positions 32 to 1087 of the family's 1533-position model. Lineage: Bacteria; Pseudomonadati; Bacteroidota; Bacteroidia; Bacteroidales. The record is from RNAcentral.